AACAGCAAGUGACAAGACUGAGGCAGGCAGAGUGGCCGAGCGGGGUAGAGGGGCUGGAGACAGCAGUCAUGUGGAUGUUUUGGCACAGGGUCUGAAGGAGCCUGAUUGUUGAAGCAAAACUUCCCGUUUACCUACUGAUUGGAGGGUUUUUGAGCAUCUGGAAGCCAGAACAAAAAUGAAGGAGGGAAAGCUGCUGAGAAAACAUGGAAACACAGAAAGAGGAAAGUAAAAAGUACCCAGGGAGCCUCUGAGUUUGUGUGUGCACGUG
RNAcentral lists this long non-coding RNA (268 nucleotides) under Homo sapiens (human). RNAcentral's name for it is "HSALNT0336884". Lineage: Eukaryota; Metazoa; Chordata; Mammalia; Primates; Hominidae. The record is from RNAcentral.